Non-coding RNA from Myotis davidii, 73 nucleotides. The record is from Rfam. NCBI's taxonomy places the organism in Eukaryota, Metazoa, Chordata, Mammalia, Chiroptera, Vespertilionidae.
GACCAGGUAGCUCAGUUGGAUAGAGCGUUGUCCUCAUACCACAAGGUUGUGGGUUUGAUCCCCAAUCAGGGCA